Molecule: ribosomal RNA, 48 nt
Filed under: Chenopodium quinoa (quinoa)
Lineage: Eukaryota; Viridiplantae; Streptophyta; Magnoliopsida; Caryophyllales; Amaranthaceae
Source: RNAcentral
GCGAUUAGAGCAGCACUAAUGCACCGGAUCCCAUCAGAACUCCGCAGU